GACGAACGCUGGCGGCGUGCUUAACACAUGCAAGUCGAACGCUGAACCCGCUUCGGUGGGGGAUGAGUGGCGAACGGGUGAGUAACACGUGGGCAACCUGCCCCCGGCUCUGGGAUAACUCCAAGAAAUUGGGGCUAAUACCGGAUGUGACCGCUGGCCGCAUGGUCUGGUGGUGGAAAGGGUUUCCGGCUGGGGAUGGGCCCGCGGCCUAUCAGCUUGUUGGUGGGGUAGUGGCCUACCAAGGCGACGACGGGUAGCCGGCCUGAGAGGGUGACCGGCCACACUGGGACUGAGACACGGCCCAGACUCCUACGGGAGGCAGCAGUGGGGAAUAUUGCGCAAUGGGCGGAAGCCUGACGCAGCGACGCCGCGUGGGGGAUGACGGCCUUCGGGUUGUAAACCUCUUUCAGCAGGGACGAAGCGGAAGUGACGGUACCUGCAGAAGAAGCACCGGCCAACUACGUG
This 465-nucleotide ribosomal RNA is filed under the name uncultured bacterium. RNAcentral describes it as "partial 16S ribosomal RNA". It matches the Rfam family "Bacterial small subunit ribosomal RNA", at positions 28 to 507 of the family's 1533-position model. The record is from RNAcentral.